GUCCACGCCCUAAACGAUGUUCACUCGAUGUGUGCGAUACACUGCACGCGUCCAAGCGAAAGCGAUAAGUGAACCACCUGGGGAGUACGGUCGCAAGACUGAAACUCAAAGGAAUUGACGGGGGCCCCGCACAAGCGGAGGAGCAUGUGGUUUAAUUCGAUGAUACGCGCGGAACCUUACCAGGGCUUGAAAGUUAGUGAAUGACGUAGAAAUAUGCCAGCUCGCAAGAGCACGAAACUAGGUGCUGCAUGGCUGUCGU
Molecule: ribosomal RNA, 259 nt
Filed under: uncultured bacterium
Lineage: Bacteria
Description: partial 16S ribosomal RNA
Rfam family: Bacterial small subunit ribosomal RNA
Source: RNAcentral